GAUGAACGCUAGCGAUAGGCUUAACACAUGCAAGUCGAGGGGCAGCAUGGUCUUAGCUUGCUCAGACUGAUGGCGACCGGCGCACGGGUGCGUAACGCGUAUGCAACUUGCCUCACAGAGGGGGAUAACCCGUCGAAAGACGGACUAAUACCGCGUACACUUGGGAUAGGGCAUCCUGACCCAAGGAAAUGAAAUUCGCUGUGAGAUAGGCAUGCGUCCCAUUAGCUAGUUGGUGAGGUAACGGCUCACCAAGGCGACGAUGGGUAGGGGAACUGAGAGGUUGAACCCCCACACUGGUACUGAGACACGGACCAGACUCCUACGGGAGGCAGCAGUGAGGAAUAUUGGUCAAUGGGCGAGAGCCUGAACCAGCCAAGUCGCGUGAAGGAUGACUGUCUUAUGGAUUGUAAACUUCUUUUAUACGGGAAUAACAAGAGUCACGUGUGGCUCCCUGCAUGUACCGUAUGAAUAAGCAUCGGCUAACUCCGUG
RNAcentral lists this ribosomal RNA (490 nucleotides) under uncultured bacterium. RNAcentral describes it as "partial 16S ribosomal RNA". It matches the Rfam family "Bacterial small subunit ribosomal RNA", at positions 28 to 507 of the family's 1533-position model. The record is from RNAcentral.